GGGCCCGUAGCUCAACGGCAGAGCGGCCGGCUCAUAACCGGUUGGUUCCAGGUUCGAAUCCUGGCGGGCCCA
This 72-nucleotide transfer RNA is filed under the name Pseudomonadota bacterium. Its description in RNAcentral is "tRNA-Ile". It matches the Rfam family "tRNA". Rfam says of the family: Transfer RNA (tRNA) molecules are approximately 80 nucleotides in length. Their secondary structure includes four short double-helical elements and three loops (D, anti-codon, and T loops). Lineage: Bacteria; Pseudomonadati; Pseudomonadota. RNAcentral also lists the same sequence under 2 other names. The record is from RNAcentral.